RNAcentral lists this transfer RNA (68 nucleotides) under Ictidomys tridecemlineatus (thirteen-lined ground squirrel). RNAcentral's name for it is "Spermophilus tridecemlineatus (thirteen-lined ground squirrel) tRNA". It matches the Rfam family "tRNA". Rfam says of the family: Transfer RNA (tRNA) molecules are approximately 80 nucleotides in length. The record is from Rfam by way of RNAcentral. Lineage: Eukaryota; Metazoa; Chordata; Mammalia; Rodentia; Sciuridae.
GGGGUUGUAGCUCAGUGGUAGAGCCCUUGCUUUGUAUGCAUGAGGCCCUGGUUCCAUCCUCAGCGCCA